ACCGGCGCACGGGUGAGUAACGCGUAUGCAACCUACCUAUCAGAGGGGAAUAACCCGGCGAAAGUCGGACUAAUACCGCAUAAAACAGGGGCACCGCAUGGUGAUAUUUGUUAAAGAAAUUCGCUGAUAGAUGGGCAUGCGUUCCAUUAGGUAGUUGGUGAGGUAACGGCUCACCAAGCCGACGAUGGAUAGGGGAACUGAGAGGUUGGUCCCCCACACUGGUACUGAGACACGGACCAGACUCCUACGGGAGGCAGCAGUGAGGAAUAUUGGUCAAUGGGCGGGAGCCUGAACCAGCCAAGUCGCGUGAAGGAAGAAGGAUCUAUGGUUCGUAAACUUCUUUUGCAGGGGAAUAAAGUGCAGGACGUGUCCUGUUUUGUAUGUACCCUGAGAAUAAGGAUCGGCUAACUCCGUGCCAGCAGCCGCGGUAAUACGGAGGAUCCGAGCGUUAUCCGGAUUUAUUGGGUUUAAAGGGUGCGUAGGUGGUUUGAUAAGUCAGCGGUGAAAGUUUGCAGCUUAACUGUAAAAAUGCCGUUGAAACUGUCGGACUUGAGUGUAAAUGAGGUAGGCGGAAUGCGUGGUGUAGCGGUGAAAUGCAUAGAUAUCACGCAGAACUCCGAUUGCGAAGGCAGCUUACUAAGCUACAACUGACACUGAAGCACGAAAGCGUGGGGAUCAAACAGGAUUAGAUACCCUGGUAGUCCACGCA
RNAcentral lists this ribosomal RNA (709 nucleotides) under uncultured bacterium. Its description in RNAcentral is "bacterial SSU rRNA". It matches the Rfam family "Bacterial small subunit ribosomal RNA", at positions 94 to 801 of the family's 1533-position model. The record is from RNAcentral.